RNAcentral lists this ribosomal RNA (547 nucleotides) under uncultured bacterium. Its description in RNAcentral is "bacterial SSU rRNA". It matches the Rfam family "Bacterial small subunit ribosomal RNA", at positions 777 to 1339 of the family's 1533-position model. The record is from RNAcentral.
AAUAGAUACCCGGGUAGUCCACGCCGUAAACGAUGGAUGCUAGCUGUUAUGCGUAUCGACCCGUGUAGUAGCGAAGCUAACGCGUUAAGCAUCCCGCCUGGGGAGUACGAACGCAAGUUUAAAACUCAAAGGAAUUGACGGGGACCCGCACAAGCGGUGGAGCGUGUUCUUUAAUUCGAGGCUAAGCGAAGAACCUUACCAGGGCUUGACAUCCUUGGAAUUUCUCCGAAAGGAGAGAGUACUUUAUUGGACCAAGUGACAGGUGCUGCAUGGCCGUCGUCAGCUCGUGUCGUGAGAUGUUUGGUUAAGUCCAUUAACGAGCGCAACCCUUAUGAAUAGUUGUAUUUUUCUAUUCAGACUGCCCCGGUAACGGGGAGGAAGGGGGGAUGAUGUCAGGUCAGUAUUGCCCUUACGCCCUGGACUAGAAACGCGCUACAAUGGCCGGUACAAUGCGCUGCCAACCCGCGAGGGGGAGCAGAUCGCAUCAAAGCCGGUCCCAGUUCGGAUAAGAGGCUGAAACUCGCCUCUUGAAGCCGGAAUCGCUAGU